Molecule: ribosomal RNA, 253 nt
Filed under: uncultured bacterium
Lineage: Bacteria
Description: partial 16S ribosomal RNA
Rfam family: Bacterial small subunit ribosomal RNA
Source: RNAcentral
UACGGGGGGGGCAAGCGUUGUUCGGAAUUACUGGGCGUAAAGGGCUCGUAGGCGGCCAACUAAGUCGGAUGUGAAAUCCCCAGGCUCAACUUGGGAACUGCAUCCGAUACUGGAUGGCUUGAAUCCGGGAGAGGGAUGCAGAAUUCCAGGUGUAGCGGUGAAAUGCGUAGAUAUCAUCAGGAAUACCGGAGGCGAAGGCGGCUCACUGGGGGUUUUCUGACGCUGAGGAACGAAAGCCAGGGUAGCGAACGGG